CGCGCAGGUGGGAUAGUAAGUCUUUUGUAAAAGUGCGGGGCUCAACCCCGUAAUGCGACGGAUACUGCUAUUCUUGAGUGCCGGAGAGGAAAGCGGAAUUCCCAGUGUAGCGGUGAAAUGCGUAGAUAUUGGGAGGAACACCAGUGGCGAAGGCGGCUUUCUGGACGGUGUCUGACACUGAGGCGCGAAAGCCAGGGGAGCGAACGGGAUUAGAUACCCCGGUAGUCCUGGCCGUAAACGAUGGGUACUAGGUGUAGGGGGUAUCGACCCCUUCUGUGCCGGAGUUAACGCAAUAAGUACCCCGCCUGGGGAGUACGGCCGCAAGGUUGAA
RNAcentral lists this ribosomal RNA (331 nucleotides) under uncultured bacterium. RNAcentral describes it as "bacterial SSU rRNA". It matches the Rfam family "Bacterial small subunit ribosomal RNA", at positions 568 to 898 of the family's 1533-position model. The record is from RNAcentral.